AGCUUUGUGCAGGGGCAGUAUCAUAGCCAGUGAAGUUUAUCCAAGGCACAAUUACUGCUUAUUGAAAAAAUUGUAUUGAAGGUAUAUUCAACACAAUAUGAGGACAGAAUAUCAGACCUAAAAGACAAGUUUGUGGUCAGAAAUCAUCAAAUGAAAGAAAUUUU
Molecule: small nuclear RNA, 164 nt
Organism: Heterocephalus glaber (naked mole-rat)
Lineage: Eukaryota; Metazoa; Chordata; Mammalia; Rodentia; Bathyergidae
Gene: U4
Rfam family: U4 spliceosomal RNA
About the family: U4 small nuclear RNA (U4 snRNA) is a component of the major U2-dependent spliceosome.
Source: Ensembl